Molecule: ribosomal RNA, 228 nt
Filed under: uncultured bacterium
Lineage: Bacteria
Description: partial 16S ribosomal RNA
Rfam family: Bacterial small subunit ribosomal RNA
Source: RNAcentral
GAUCCUGGCUCAGGAUGAACGCUAGCUACAGGCUUAACACAUGCAAGUCGAGGGGCAGCAUGGUCUUAGCUUGCUAAGGCUGAUGGCGACCGGCGCACGGGUGAGUAACACGUAUCCAACCUGCCGUCUACUCUUGGCCAGCCUUCUGAAAGGAAGAUUAAUCCAGGAUGGGAUCAUGAGUUCACAUGUCCGCAUGAUUAAAGGUAUUUUCCUGUAGACGAGUGGGGA